UACCAGCACCCCGAGUGGUCGGGACGUUUAUUGGGCCUAAAGCAUCCGUAGCCGGUUCUACAAGUCUUCCGUUAAAUCCAACUGCUUAACAGGUGGGCUGCGGAAGAUACUAUAGAGCUAGGAGGCGGGAGAGGCAAGCGGUACUCGAUGGGUAGGGGUAAAAUCCGUUGAUCCAUUGAAGACCACCAGUGGCGAAGGCGGCGACCUGGUUCAUAACUGACGCUGAGGCGCGAAAGCGUGGGGAGCAAACAGG
This 253-nucleotide ribosomal RNA is filed under the name uncultured bacterium. Its description in RNAcentral is "partial 16S ribosomal RNA". It matches the Rfam family "Archaeal small subunit ribosomal RNA", at positions 474 to 727 of the family's 1478-position model. The record is from RNAcentral.